RNAcentral lists this ribosomal RNA (779 nucleotides) under uncultured bacterium. RNAcentral describes it as "bacterial SSU rRNA". It matches the Rfam family "Bacterial small subunit ribosomal RNA", at positions 90 to 817 of the family's 1533-position model. The record is from RNAcentral.
GGCGACCGGCGCACGGGUGAGUAACGCGUACGCAACUUACUUUUCGAGAGGGGCAUAGCUUUGGGAAACUCGGGAGUAAACUUUAUAGUAUCCUUUAAUGCAUAUUAGAUGGAUUAAAAUGAGGUGCUCAAGGACGGGCGUGCGUGCUAUUAGAUAGUUGGUGAGGUAACGGCUCACCAAGUCCGCGAUAGCUAGGGGGCGUGAGAGCGUGAUCUUCACACGGGUACUGAGACACGGACUCGACUUUUACGGGAGGCAGCAGUAAGGAAAUUGGACAAUGGGCGAGAGCCUGAUCCAGCUAUCUGCGUGCAGGAAGAACGGCCCUUGGGUUGUAAACUUGCUUUUUAUAUUGGGAAAAAAUCGGUUCUGAAUUCUCAGAAUAUUGACGGUACCCAUACGAAAUAAGCCACCCGGCUAAACUUCCCGUUGCCCAGCAGCCCGCGGGUAAUUACCGGAGGGGUGCAAAGCGUUUAUCUCGGAAUUCACUNGGGUUUAAAGGGGUGGCGGUAGGUGGGCCUCGAUUUAGUCCAGAGAGUGAAAAGCCUAUUAGCUUAAACUAUUAGAAUUUGCCUUUUGAUUACUUGUCGGGGCUUUGAAUUUAGGACGAAGUCAGCGGAAUUGUGACAUUGUAGCGGUGAAAUGCAUAGAUUUUGUCAUAGAACACCCAAUUUGCGAAGGCAGCUGACUAGACCUCGAUUUGACACUGAGGCACGAAAGCGUGGGGAGCGAACAGGAUUUAGAUACCCCUGGUAGUCUCACGCCCCUAAACGAUGCUAACU